ACGACUCUCGGCAACGGAUAUCUCGGCUCUCGCAUCGAUGAAGAACGUAGCGAAAUGCGAUACUUGGUGUGAAUUGCAGAAUCCCGUGAACCAUCGAGUCUUUGAACGCAAGUUGCGCCCGAGGCCACCCGGCCGAGGGCACGCCUGCCUGGGCGUCACGCACCGUGCC
RNAcentral lists this ribosomal RNA (169 nucleotides) under Magnolia champaca. RNAcentral describes it as "5.8S ribosomal RNA". It matches the Rfam family "5.8S ribosomal RNA". Rfam says of the family: 5.8S ribosomal RNA (5.8S rRNA) is a component of the large subunit of the eukaryotic ribosome. The record is from RNAcentral. RNAcentral also lists the same sequence under 1 other name. Lineage: Eukaryota; Viridiplantae; Streptophyta; Magnoliopsida; Magnoliales; Magnoliaceae.